Molecule: unclassified non-coding RNA, 572 nt
Filed under: Chelonus insularis
Lineage: Eukaryota; Metazoa; Arthropoda; Insecta; Hymenoptera; Braconidae
Description: zinc finger protein 25-like, transcript variant X3
Source: RNAcentral
UAGAAAUGGUAAAAAAGUAUUUUGUAGCCUAAAAAUAUCGUAAAUAGUACAAAUUAAAAUAAUCACAAAUAUUAUUAUUAUUAGUUUUAAUAUUUAUAAAUAAUUAGUAUUUAUAUUGAAUACUUUAUCAAUGGAAUUAAGAUUUAAAAUGUCUCACAAUGUUGAUAAAUAUUGUAUUAAGGAACUUGACAAUCUUAAGAAAUUAAUAAUAUUGGAUCUGUGAAGAUGAAAAGUACAAUGGAUGUCAUGGCUACCAGCAACAAGACUAUGGAUGAUAAUAUUAUUAUUAAUUCAGUGUUAAAAGACGAGCCUAGUGGUGAUAAAUUUGCUCCAGUUUACCUAGAAGAUAUUUGUGCAGGAACUUUAGAAAAAGUUUUUCUACCAAUUGAUACACACGAAGUGGAUUUUGCUGAUGAAAUGGUGAUAAUACACUAGAGUGAAGCUUGGUUUAGAAAAUCAGAGUAAUCAAAAUUGGGUAUAUCAAAUAGCUGGUUCAAAUUCUUUACCUGAUCGAUUAAAUGCAACCAGACCUAAUUUUAUUCAAAUUGAAGAUAGAAGUAAUCUCGAGUUAG